This 465-nucleotide ribosomal RNA is filed under the name Vreelandella stevensii. RNAcentral describes it as "partial 16S ribosomal RNA". It matches the Rfam family "Bacterial small subunit ribosomal RNA", at positions 338 to 795 of the family's 1533-position model. Lineage: Bacteria; Pseudomonadati; Pseudomonadota; Gammaproteobacteria; Oceanospirillales; Halomonadaceae. The record is from RNAcentral.
CCUACAGGGUGCUGCAGUGGGGAAUAUUGGACAAUGGGCGAAAGCCUGAUCCAGCCAUGCCGCGUGUGUGAAGAAGGCCUUCGGGUUGUAAAGCACUUUCAGUGGGGAAGAAAGCCUUGGGGCUAAUACCCUCGAGGAAGGACAUCACCCACAGAAGAAGCACCGGCUAACUCCGUGCCAGCAGCCGCGGUAAUACGGAGGGUGCGAGCGUUAAUCGGAAUUACUGGGCGUAAAGCGCGCGUAGGCGGUCUGAUAAGCCGGUUGUGAAAGCCCCGGGCUCAACCUGGGAACGGCAUCCGGAACUGUCAGGCUAGAGUGCAGGAGAGGAAGGUAGAAUUCCCGGUGUAGCGGUGAAAUGCGUAGAGAUCGGGAGGAAUACCAGUGGCGAAGGCGGCCUUCUGGACUGACACUGACGCUGAGGUGCGAAAGCGUGGGUAGCAAACAGGAUUAGAUACCCCAGUAGUC